This 468-nucleotide ribosomal RNA is filed under the name uncultured bacterium. RNAcentral's name for it is "partial 16S ribosomal RNA". It matches the Rfam family "Bacterial small subunit ribosomal RNA", at positions 28 to 507 of the family's 1533-position model. The record is from RNAcentral.
GACGAACGCUGGCGGCGUGCUUAACACAUGCAAGUCGAACGGAAAGGCCCUGCUUUUGUGGGGUGCUCGAGUGGCGAACGGGUGAGUAACACGUGAGUAACCUGCCCUUGACUUUGGGAUAACUUCAGGAAACUGGGGCUAAUACCGGAUAGGAGCUCCUGCUGCAUGGUGGGGGUUGGAAAGUUUCGGCGGUUGGGGAUGGACUCGCGGCUUAUCAGCUUGUUGGUGGGGUAGUGGCUUACCAAGGCUUUGACGGGUAGCCGGCCUGAGAGGGUGACCGGCCACAUUGGGACUGAGAUACGGCCCAGACUCCUACGGGAGGCAGCAGUGGGGAAUAUUGCACAAUGGGCGGAAGCCUGAUGCAGCAACGCCGCGUGCGGGGUGAUGGCCUUCGGGUUGUAAACCGCUUUCGCCUGUGACGAAGCGUGAGUGACGGUAAUGGGUAAAGAAGCACCGGCUAACUACGUG